Molecule: long non-coding RNA, 756 nt
Organism: Lathyrus oleraceus (garden pea)
Lineage: Eukaryota; Viridiplantae; Streptophyta; Magnoliopsida; Fabales; Fabaceae
Exons: 2
Source: RefSeq, a predicted model, not a curated record
UAAUGCUGGGGCCAUGAAGUUUUGGGGCAAAAGGCUUAAUUCACCAUUCAUCACCUAACUCGGGUCUCAUAUGUCUUCAGCGAUGCCCAAAACUCAAUGUAUCCAAGCCACUUCACCGUCACCAUCAGCGUUUAAUCACCAAGAAAAUAUUCAAAACUCCAUUUCAAACUCUCACUUCCUCAUACACGCGGAUUUUCCCCUUUCAAAUCUCAAUCGAACAGCGAAAUAAAAAACGGGACGCUAUAGAUUUAUCACCGAAUUGAAUCCUCACUGAAGUCGAAACCAUCUUGCACGCGAGUGAAGGAAGACGAAGGGAGAAAAACUUACCGGACGAUUCUGACGCGGUGGCUCAGAGGUUAUGGACAUGGUUCUACUUUGGUAUUGGCUUGGCUUCAAAGAAGUUUUAAAGGCUUGGUGAUAUGCUAUAAAACUUGAUUUGGAGUUGGCUAGGAAUUUGGAAUGCUUUUGAAGCUUGAGUUGGAGAUGGACUUAAUGGCUCAUGUUGUAUCGUUGUAAAUUGGAAUGCUUUGAAACAAAUGGAAUUUGUAAUGUAACUUUGGUAAUUGUAUGUAUGUAUUAUGGUUGAAUUUGAAAUGAUAUAUGUAUGUAUUGUGAAGUGUAAUUUUGAAGUUGGAUGGAUUGGAAUGACUUUGACUUGUAAAUAAAUGUGAAUUCCAAUUGUAUGACAUUGUUGCAUUAUGAUGAGAUUCGAAUUGUAAUGGUUAAAUUUUGAAUGUAUAAGAAGUGGUUUUGGAA